AUGGUGAACAAGGGCAAGGUCAUCUCACUUCCUUGUCAUGCAAUCAUCCAUGUUGUCCAUCCCCAAAGGCCACUACUCCGAAGUCGACAUACAGACAAGCCCAUAGUGCCACCUUACGGGACACCGCCGCCACCACCUUAUGUGAUGUAUCCACCUGGAACAGUAUAUGCCCACCCCUCUACACCUCCUGCCAUGCAUCCAUUUGGCCAUUAUCCUAUGCCAACAAAUGGGCAUGCUGAAACUCAUGGAGCUGCGCCAAGCGCUCCGGAAAUGAAUGGGAAAAGCGAGCCUGGCAGAACGUCUGCUCCAUCCGCCAACGGGAUUACCUCGCACAGGUUUUUAUUUCUUGGUGUGCAAGUUACAGAUUUUCUGUAAUUCAUCCACAACCUAAU
Zea mays is the source of this 392-nucleotide RNA transcript. RefSeq lists it as uncharacterized. The record is from RefSeq and is marked validated. Lineage: Eukaryota; Viridiplantae; Streptophyta; Magnoliopsida; Poales; Poaceae. The transcript is spliced from 5 exons.